Non-coding RNA from Danio rerio (zebrafish), 72 nucleotides. NCBI's taxonomy places the organism in Eukaryota, Metazoa, Chordata, Actinopteri, Cypriniformes, Danionidae. The record is from Rfam.
GGUUCCAUGGUGUAAUGGUGACCACUCUGGACUCUGAAUCCAGCAAUCUGAGUUCAAAUUUCAGUGGGACCU